UACGUAGGGGGCAAGCGUUGUCCGGAAUUACUGGGCGUAAAGCGCGUGUAGGCGGGACGGCAAGUCUGGGGUGAAAGGCUCGGGCUCAACCCGAGAUGGCCGCUGGAAACUGCCGUUCUUGAGGGUCGAAGAGGAGAGUGGAAUUCCUGGUGUAGCGGUGAAAUGCGUAGAGAUCAGGAGGAACACCCAUGGCGAAGGCAGCUCUCUGGUCGACCUCUGACGCUGAGACGCGAAAGCGUGGGGAGCGAACGGG
RNAcentral lists this ribosomal RNA (253 nucleotides) under uncultured bacterium. RNAcentral describes it as "partial 16S ribosomal RNA". It matches the Rfam family "Bacterial small subunit ribosomal RNA", at positions 524 to 776 of the family's 1533-position model. The record is from RNAcentral.